Molecule: ribosomal RNA, 152 nt
Filed under: uncultured eukaryote
Lineage: Eukaryota
Description: partial 18S ribosomal RNA
Rfam family: Eukaryotic small subunit ribosomal RNA
Source: RNAcentral
UGGUGGAGUGAUUUGUCUGGUUAAUUCCGUUAACGAACGAGACCUUAACCUAUUAAAUAGUUGUUUGAACUUGAUUUUUAAAUCAAAUGUUCAAUUAACUUCUUAGAGGGACUCUUCACUGAGAGAGUGAAUGGAAGUUUGAGGCAAAAACA